Long non-coding RNA from Cloeon dipterum, 682 nucleotides. RefSeq lists it as uncharacterized. Lineage: Eukaryota; Metazoa; Arthropoda; Insecta; Ephemeroptera; Baetidae. The record is from RefSeq and is a predicted model, not a curated record. The transcript has 5 exons.
CAUCUUUCCGAAGCUGCUGCUGCUGUGCUGCUUCCACUCGUGCCGCCCCGAGCAUAUUGAGUGCAUCUUCUCGGCCGUGAUCAAAGCGAGUGACGCGAGGUGCGAAAAUCACUGUUACACUCGUCUUGACACACUUUUCCUUCCGCCAAGAUGCAUCCUCAAGUCGCAGAAAUUGUGCCGUGCAAAAGUGACUCGCGAUGCAAUGAGUGCUCGCGACAUUAUCCUGCAGCGCGGAAAAAAUCAUUACCAAUGGAGGUGUUAAAACAAUAACCAAGAGAUUCAUCCGAUGAUUGCUUCAACCUGGGUGUGAUAUGCGAGGAGCAGCGAAUUUACUGGCUGAUUUAAUUUCCAACUCCUCGUCACAGGAUCCGGCAACGAGGCGAACAGAGGUGCAGAGCGGAUAGCCUAUCUUAUCUACACUGUGCGUUGGCGAAACAAAACGGAGAUGCCCGCUCGAGUUUCUCAAAGGGCAAGGCGCGUGUAAUUCCGCUGGCAUUCCUUGGCGAGAGACUUGGGAAUUCCACAUCGACCGCCAACAUCGAAACGUGACAGCAACAUUGAGAAAAUUUAUAUGUAUUUGUAUAAUGAGAAGCUAUAAAUAAAUUAUGCGUUCAAGUAUUAUUAGCAAGCAUAUAAUGAUUUCAUUGUGUGCAAAAGUUACAAAAUUAUCUGCUAUUUAACA